This 468-nucleotide ribosomal RNA is filed under the name uncultured bacterium. Its description in RNAcentral is "partial 16S ribosomal RNA". It matches the Rfam family "Bacterial small subunit ribosomal RNA", at positions 28 to 507 of the family's 1533-position model. The record is from RNAcentral.
GACGAACGCUGGCGGCGUGCUUAACACAUGCAAGUCGAACGGAAAGGCCCUGCUUUUGUGGGGUGCUCGAGUGGCGAACGGGUGAGUAGCACGUGAGUAACCUGCCCUUGACUUUGGGAUAACUUCAGGAAACUGGGUCUAAUACCGGAUAGGAGCUCCUGCUUCAUGGUGGGGGUUGGAAAGUUUCGGCGGUUGGGGAUGGACUCGCGGCUUAUCAGCUUGUUGGUGGGGUAGUGGCUUACCAAGGCUUUGACGGGUAGCCGGCCUGAGAGGGUGACCGGCCACAUUGGGACUGAGAUAAGGCCCAGACUACUACGGGAGGCAGCAGUGGGGAAUAUUGCACAAUGGGCGGAAGCCUGAUGCAGCAAAGCAGCGUGCGGGAUGACGGCCUUCGGGUUGUAAACCAAUUUCGCCUGUGACGAAGCGUGAGUGACGGUAAUGGGUAAAGAAGCACCGGCUAACUACGUG